Long non-coding RNA from Macaca mulatta (Rhesus monkey), 2398 nucleotides. The record is from Ensembl. Lineage: Eukaryota; Metazoa; Chordata; Mammalia; Primates; Cercopithecidae.
ACCCCAAGUCCUGUUGGAAGCUCUCCUAGAAACAGAAUUCCAGAGAGGCCAGUACCUCCUCCCAGAACUUCCCCCAGGGUUUGCCUCUGUGGCGCCAACGCUCUGGUGCUUGGACCAAACACAAGCUAGGCUGGUGCAGGUUUUGUGGAAGUGUAUGCUCGGGUCUUUUCUGAUUCACUCGUGAUCCUCCCUUGUCUCAUUGUGACUGGACACAAACAUGGAAACCCUCACAGUUUGGAGUCCAGUGGGUCUCACAAAAGCCCAGAACACCCUGAUGUCCACAUGGUCAUUUCCAAAUCUCAAAGCGACAUUUGAGUUGCAAAGUUGAAGCUGAUGGGGAAUCAUGUGUCUCCUUCCCACCUCCAGGAUCCCUUGACAUGUUUGAAGGGCUCUGGAGGAAAGAUGGCCUGAGAUGAGAGUUGCAGGCAUCAUGGCCCAGAAAUAUAAUUGACAGUAAAGGGCUUGAGGAGUUUUCGCUAUUCCCUAUUGAUUGUUAUAGAACUUGGAAGCUCGCCUAUGGGGCCUGGGAUCCAUCACCUCUCAUAACAGGCAUUAAACUGAUGUCAUUAUUCAGUGUCAUUCAGUGCCAUCAAAACAGGACCUGCUUUUGAAGACCAGCCCGGCCUUGAGCCUGAUCUUUGCCAUUUGACCAGCCGCCCAAGGGCAGACAUGCUUCCCAACUCUUGAAUUUCUUCUAAGGACACGCUGACCUGACAGGAUUGGUUUAGGAUUAAGUGAGAUGAUGUAUGGUCAGAUCAUAAUAGAAGCUCUACUAAAUACAAAUGCUGCUUUUUUGCUGCUUUCUUGCAGCAUGGUGACAAAUUCUCCUCUGGAAGAUCCUGCAGAUGUGAAACUGGGUGGAGGUGUCACCCGCUGACAGCGGUGGGUUUUUCUUCCCUUGGGUGGCAUAAGGGUGAAGAGCUGGGGGGUCUGCUGUCACUGAGCACUACAGGCCUGCUCUACACAACCCAUCCACCUGUGUUUAUAGCCUCCCCAGCCCUCGAAGCCCAUGUACGAGAGAAAAGGAGGAGGAUAUCAGAGUGAUAAAAUGAGUUUAUGUUGCUUUUAAAUGUAGCCACUGCAUCUUCUCACAAGUCCUUACAUAGUCCAUCUUUCUGAACUGGCUUUAACUCUUCCUGGCGUGUUUCUUGGUAGAGGGCGAACAUCCGGGAUGGUGGCCACAGAUUGUCACAGAUAAUUGACAGCAGGAAGCAUACACUCAGUUGCGACCAUGGUUUGGCUCUGUGACCCAGCUUUCUUUCUGUGUGUGUGUUUUGGAGCAGAUUGAAAUUCACUUGCUUUCCGAAAAAUAUCUGAGGUCCAGACAGUUCAAAUGAGUACGCUUACGUUGUUAAAGGCUCUAAAAAAGGUUGUACUCUCUUCAGUUAAAUAGGAGAAAAAUAUACUUGCAUAUCGAUUCCUGAACCACAGAAACUGCCAGAUAAUAAAUAUUUGUUGUUUUAAGUCAUUAAGUUAAUUGAGGGAUAAUUUGUUAUGCAGUCGUAGCUAUGCCAGAUGAAAAGGGCUGAUGCCAUCACAAUACGGAACCAUAGAUGGAAAUCCCAGGAAUUUGCUAUCUCAUUGAUUUGACGGUGAAUUCUUGCACAUGAGUUGAUCUCAUAUUAAUUAACAUUAGCAUUUCGUGGAAAGCUGAGAGUGUCACCCUCAUGACACUGCUCUUCCACCUCGUCUCUCUAUGCAGAAUCUUAUCUUGUCACUUUACAUGUGUACAUUUCCAGCGGGAUAGGCAUAUUUGUGGUCUAGGUAAUUUCCCCAGACACUGUUUCCCGUGUAGCUGAAGACAAAAAGACUAUUUAUUAGUAUCUUGUUAGCCAUACACCCAGGCAAGAAACAAAAUUGUAUUGUUUUUGCUUGAAAGAAUUUGGAGGAAGACAGAGCCACCUCCUUUAGAUCCAGAUCAGCCCAUGCUCCUGGUCAAUAAGAAAUGGACUUGUCCUGUACAUUCCUGACUUGCUUUUCUCAUUGCUUGCAGCCGCCCAUUGGUGAUUUCCACCCAGCUCACGAUUCUGUGCUGUUCAGGUCACGUUAACAGACAGCAACCGACUUGCCAGACAGGUCCCACAGUAGCAACACAUGACUGCGAUCACAUAGGGGACCUUGCCAAGCCCUCUCAACCCCAGACUUAACAUCACAACUCUGAUUCUGUGGGAUAGUGAGGCAGUGCUGACGGGGGUUGACAAAUAGCACAAGGGCAUUUCAGGGCCCAAUUAAAAAAAAAACUAGGUCGUGAUAUUUAUUUGGUAUAGAAAAAUUAGAAAAUAUAGCUGAACAAAGAGAAGAUCCUACAAAUUAACCUCUAAUCACAACCUAAAUGUAACUGGUCGCUGAGAAAAGCGCCUGGCCGAGGGGAUGAGAGCCAGAACGAACUCCUGUGAAG